UGCGUACUCUAUAGGUCUCCAUCUUGCUUGGUUUUCUUCGACGGAUAGGCAACGUUUUGAACCCCUAAAUAUCUCAUUUUGACCGAUGCAUCAUGUCUCAGAGACCCGUUCAUGAUAUUUCUUAACACGCAAAGAGUCAUUUUUGCCAAGAAUUUAUUUGCAAACGGUUUGUAAUUUGUGUUUUGGAUCCAUGGAAAUCAUAGAAACGGCAGUUUCGGCAGACUGCCAGACUGCGUUCAGAGCGACGACAUUCGGCCCAUCUGAUAAUGUGUCGCUGCAUAGGUAAACGAGACUCCAGGACAUGUAAGCUGAUUUGGUGGGGAACGUAAGCCAAUUAAGUGUCUGGCAAGGCAUGCAUCAUAUCACGACCAUGGGAGAUGCGGGAAGGAUGGCAGCACAGGUAUGCGAUUGCAGGAGUGGUGUGGAACUCUGCAGCCACCAUCAUGCAACUUCAUAUGGCACCAAUCCAGAGGUAGGGCUUGCGCACAGGCUGGUUGCAACUGGUGAUCACUAUGUGUACAAAACGAACGCCCGCAACAUACACACGCCCAACGAUUUUGUUUCAAAAGUGUCCUCAUCUUCAAUCAGGCUGACAGGAACCCAAUCUACCCAACUUCACCCCCAUCAACCUUGGUCACAUGCUUAAGAGGGCAGUAGAAUUACAAGAUUGUUGAAUGCCUCUUGUGAGAACAAUAAGAGGAACACAAGGAUACACAUUCAGGUAAGCUAAAAACUUGUUCAAUUUUAAUUUACGGGCCACUUACUCAUCAUUGUAAAAUUAUAUGUGUUUGGACCUGAAUAAAGUCAACUGAAUAUUCAAUUUUUAAAUUGUUUAGUUUUACCAUAUAAAAUAAUAAUUUUCAGUGAUAUUAAAGUUGUCAAAACAAUUCUUUUGUUUUCUUCAGUCCCGAACUAUGGCAUCACCUUUUUUGUGCAAUGGGCUUACCCAUACAUGUAUUAAAGGGGAUGUUAAUUUGGCCCCAUAUGGGGCCAAAUUCAUCCAGACUCAUCUUCAUGAUAAACACAUGAACAUAUGAACAUAUGUAUGUACAUUUUAUGCGGAUAGUUUCACCUUGUUUGUGGAAUUAAAUAUACAUGUAGUUUUGAUGCAUUUUUUUUCAAUCCCUGAAUUGUGAGUCCAAUUAA
This is a long non-coding RNA of Patiria miniata (bat star), 1146 nucleotides long. RefSeq lists it as uncharacterized. The transcript has 5 exons. The record is from RefSeq and is a predicted model, not a curated record. NCBI's taxonomy places the organism in Eukaryota, Metazoa, Echinodermata, Asteroidea, Valvatida, Asterinidae.